This 819-nucleotide long non-coding RNA is filed under the name Homo sapiens (human). Its description in RNAcentral is "SNAI3 antisense RNA 1". Lineage: Eukaryota; Metazoa; Chordata; Mammalia; Primates; Hominidae. The record is from RNAcentral.
GUGUGCCCAGGCGCCUGGCGUCCGCGUCGGCGAUCCGGGGUCUGGGCGCGGCGAGAUCAGGGUGGCUGUUCUUGGGUGCUGCACCAAAACUCCAGCAGUGGGCUUUCUUCAAGUGGCCGGCUCACCUCAUUCCUGCCAAGACCCAGGUCCGUGUUCUCACAGUGCUGCCAUCUUUCCUCCGUGUGAGCGUGGGCUGUGCGGAGAGUGGACCUCGGUGUGUGCGGGGCUGCGUGCACUGCCAUCGCUCCCUCUACACGAGCCGGCGUGGACCCAGGGCUGAGCUGUGACCACGAGGGCCAUCCCGACGAGCCGCCAUGGACCCAGGGCUGAGCUGUGACCAUGAGGGCUAUCCCGACGAGCUGCCGUGGACCCAGGGCUGAGCCGUGACCAUGAGGGCCAUCCCGAAACUGUGAUUGUUUUCUGAAUGUGGAAGCGUCGGCCGAGCGCGGUCCUUGGAGAACCCUUGCUGCGGAGAAUGACGCUCACUCUGCGGCCUGGCCUCGCCUCCCCAUCCCUUCUGCAAACUCACAGGACAGGAUUGAUGGGGAGAGCCCAGGCGAAACGAAGCUGACCCUAGUGACCAGCCCUACUGGCGGCUCUGGAACAGGCCCGGGACCGGUGGCCUGGAGACAGUGGUCCUUUCUGGAUGGGCUGCAGUCUCCGAAGGCUUCCCCCACUGGAGUCAGCCCUUUAGGAGUUUGUCCAGUGCCUCCAGAAAGCUGUUUUUUGGGGGACGGAGGACUUGGCCUGGAAUUCUGGAAUUCCCAGGGGGUCAGACAUGGUUAUGGGAAGUUUAAUAAAACCGGUGAAUCACGUGAA